Molecule: long non-coding RNA, 572 nt
Organism: Pongo pygmaeus (Bornean orangutan)
Lineage: Eukaryota; Metazoa; Chordata; Mammalia; Primates; Hominidae
Exons: 2
Source: RefSeq, a predicted model, not a curated record
GUUUGAGUUUACUGCCUGAUGAUCAGAGCCAGAAGCACAGGUCUCCAGGAAAUGCCAUGACUGGAUAGAGAGCCACACGCUGCUUCCCGUCAUACAUCUACCUGGACCUAACUCAGGAAGAAACAUACGCUUCCUACAUUUUAUCCCAUAAGCAAAGCAACUACUGCAGAACUGUUCAUGGAGAUUUUGUCUUAACUUCAAAAAGUGCUUCUCCUAAUUUAUUUUCUGUUGCACAGUAUCAAGAAGCACCUGUGGAAAAAAAGGAUUCAAAAGAAGAAAACCAUAACCAUCUUACAAGUUUUUGCAUUGCUGAAGACUGACUUCACCCAGACCUACCAACUGGUCCUGAGACCCCCACCCAGGAACCUAUUCAGUGCAGGAGGACAGCUUCAGCUCCCUACGUCUUCAUGUGUGACCCAAUUGAUGAGCACUUCCUUCUUCCUGGCCCCCUACUGACCAAACUAUCCUUUAAAAACCCUAGUCACUGAGUUUCCAGGGAGACUAAUUUGACUAAUAAUAAAACUGGUCUCCCAUUCAGCCAGCUCUGCAUGAAUUAAAUUUUCUCUAUUGCA